This 786-nucleotide ribosomal RNA is filed under the name uncultured bacterium. RNAcentral's name for it is "bacterial SSU rRNA". It matches the Rfam family "Bacterial small subunit ribosomal RNA", at positions 8 to 795 of the family's 1533-position model. The record is from RNAcentral.
AGAGUUUGAUCCUGGCUCAGAACUAACGCUGGCGGCGCGUCUUAAACAUGCAAGUCGAACGGUGAAAAUGAAGCUUCGGCAGAAACACGAGUGGCGAACGGGUGAGUAACACGUAAGAACCUGCCCUGUAGUAAGGGACAACCUCGGGAAACCGGGGCUAAUACCCCAUGGUCUCGAAAGAGUAAAGAGUAGCAGUACUCGCUAUAGGAUGGGGCUUGCGGUCUAUCAGCUUUGUUGGUGAGGUAAUGGCUCACCAAGGCUACGACGGAUAGCCCGGUCUGAGAGGAUGAUCGGCCACAUUGGCACUGAGACACGGGCCAGACUCCUACGNGAGGCAGCAGUUAAGAAUCUUGCGCAAUGGGCGAAAGCCUGACGCAGCGACGCCGCGUGAGGGAUGAAUGUCUUCGGAUUGUAAACCUCAUUAAAAUGGGAAGAAUAAGCAUGGUCGGUGAGGCCAUGUGAUGACGGUACCAUUCUGAAGCCCCGGCUAAUUACGUGCCAGCAGCCGCGGUAAUACGUAUGGGGCAAGCGUUGUUCGGAUUUAUUGGGCGUAAAGGGCACGCAGGCGGAUCUUUAAGUUGGGUGUUUAAUCUUCAGGCUUAACCUGAAGUCUGCAUCCAAUACUGGAGAUCUUGAGUCCUAGAGGGGAGAGCGGAAUUCUCGGUGUAGCGGUGGAAUGCGUAGAUAUCGAGAAGAACACCAGUGGCGAAGGCGGCUCUCUGGCUGGGUACUGACGCUCAGGUGCGAAAGCGUGGGUAGCAAACAGGAUUAGAUACCCUGGUAGUC